RNAcentral lists this long non-coding RNA (386 nucleotides) under Salvia miltiorrhiza (redroot sage). Its description in RNAcentral is "long non-coding RNA (SMIL_LNC009532)". Lineage: Eukaryota; Viridiplantae; Streptophyta; Magnoliopsida; Lamiales; Lamiaceae. The record is from RNAcentral.
ACUGAGUAUAUUUUCAAUAUGCUCAUCCCUUAUCUUUUCAGUUUUGCAGUUCUGGAGUCGAGGUGGCCAUGGAAGUCGAGAAUGACUAGAGAUAAAGAUUUUGCAUAGAAAAUUUAAGUUGAACUUGUUAAGUUUUAGUUUAUUGUUUUAUUUUUUUUAUUUUUAUGUUACUACUUUAGUUUUAGCAAGUUGAUUUUAAAUUAGUUUAAAUUUUGAUAGUCAAGAAAUUUUAUUUUUAACUAUUAGUUCUUCAAGUUUUAGAUUGCAAAGUUUAUGAAAAUUGGAGCGUUACAUACCUUCGGAACUGUGCAUUCAACUUGCAGAAAAUAUCUCAUAAUAAUAAGGGAGUGUUUACUUCGAUUCAUGGGAUAAAUUUAGGGCAGUAA